This 274-nucleotide ribosomal RNA is filed under the name uncultured bacterium. RNAcentral's name for it is "partial 16S ribosomal RNA". It matches the Rfam family "Bacterial small subunit ribosomal RNA", at positions 523 to 796 of the family's 1533-position model. The record is from RNAcentral.
AUACGAACCGGACAAACGUUAUUCGGAAUUAUUGGGCUUAAAGGGUGCGUAGGCGGCGCGGUAAGUGAGGUGUGAAAGCCCACGGCUCAACCGUGGAAUUGCGCUUCAUACUGCCGUGCUAGAGGGAGACAGAGGUAAGCGGAACUGAUGGUGGAGCGGUGAAAUGCGUUGAUAUUAUCAGGAACACCGGUGGCGAAGGCGGCUUACUGGGUCUCUUCUGACGCUGAGGCACGAAAGCUAGGGUAGCGAACGGGAUUAGAUACCCCGGUAGUCC